UUUUUGGGGAAUGAUUAGGUUUGUCGCCAUGCUGCUAAACAACAGCAAAAUCGUCUCCAGGACCGUUUCUAAUAGAGGCUUUACUCCCAUUUCAGGACCGUACACACAGACAGCCAGAUGUUAUGUGUGGGGGUUUCAAAGGAAAUGGACCCGAGAAAAGACCGGACGGACUAAAGACCACGUGACGAGAGGUCACAUUUAGUCUUUUGCUGCACAUAUAGGCUACAGAGGGCUGCUUAGUGAAGAAGCUCACCUGCUGAUUAAUCAAUAUGGUGAGGAGUUGCGUGAAAGCAGGUUGCUCCCAAUGACAAAGCAACAAAGAAUAUUCCCCCAGUGCAGCUGUGUCCCUCACACAUCCACAAGGGGUGCUCGAGGAGAGCAGAAGCGCACCUGAACGAGCCUGGUGAGUUGUCAGUGGGAUCCUGUCGGAUCGACGGGUGGACCUGAAACCACUAUGAAUGAAGGAUGUGGUCGCUGGUAAACUGGUCUUUAGUGCGCAUCAGUGUUUUGAGGCAGAGUGCGUCGUACCAGCAGCUGUCACCGUCCUCCAGGGCCGGCUUUUGGAAGACCUUCAGUGCACACCGGAGACAACAGAUGGAGUUUGACAAGAAGCUGGCGUGAGGCAACACAAGAGGACCCGUAACAGUUGUGAACAGCAACAAAACGAUGACAAGCUGAGAACAGAGAAGAGUUUAAGUCCACUGUUGAGGUAAUUGGAAGCAGCUGAGAAAUAAUGGGGACCUCGCGGGGCGGCUGGGGCCAGAUUAGUCAAUGCAAGGUGUACUGUUGUUACACGUAUCAGGGUUUGAAACGAACUCGUUUCAGGGAGCCACAGCAUCUUUUUUAAAGCAAAUGCUGAAUUGGCUAAAUGAAUAAUAAUAGAAAGGAGAUCUGUCGAGUGGGGGAAACCAAGUGUUGGAACUAACUGAUUUAUGGAGUCUGAGUGGGGGGAGAAUAAACUGUGAGUGGGAUAUUGAAAGGCGGUCGCCAUAGAGAACUCCAGGUAUCGACCGCCGGUUAAGAGGACUGUUAGCUCCCAGUCCAAGAAUAAACUGAUAAGACGGACCGAGAUUGGAUCCGUGCGUUAGAGCAUACGGCUUUUCCAUGCUAUCUGAAACAUUCGAGUGCUGGCUGCUUCUCAUUUAUGCCCCCACCCCCCCACCCUCUCCUCCCGCCGACUCCCUCACAUCCCAUCCCAGCCAUCUCGGCAGGGACCCUGUGUUCUGUGUGCCGCGCCGACCCAGCCCUGCAGUGGACCGUGCCAUUCGAUCCACGCAGCCGAUGAUGAUUCACGCUCUGCGAUCCGGGGAGUGAGAGCAGGCAGAGGAAUCCCCCCCCCCUUCUCUCACCUUCCUCCCACCCUGCACAUCCAUAAUUCAGCAUUUGCGCCUUCGCCACACAACCCACCCCUCCCUCCUGUCUCUUUCAUCCCAUUGCUUUGGCUGCUGGCGUGCGCACCACAGCGCGGCGUCCACAAGCCCGAGUGCCCGCCGUCAGCAAUCCGGCCAUCUGGAGCUCCACGUCGAGCGGCGCAGGUAAGGCGAGAGCGAAACAAGUGCUUCUUCGUCGUUUGUGGGGCGUGAAGUAUACAUGUCGGCUGCAGGCGUCUUUUUAAGUCCUUUGGCUGAGUUGCUUCCUAAUUUACUCAUUUAGAAGAAAUGGAUUUUUGAAGUAGAGACUUGGUGAAACUGUUGCUAUGGUACCGAUGAAUGAGGAAUAAAACCUGCGCGGGGGGGUUCAUUCGAAAUUGUUGGUGCGUCAGCCAUUGGUAAAUAAUAAAAGUUGAAUUAAUGUUCCCAGGUGAGACAAUAAGCCCACCAUCCCCACCACACACACACACCAUUGUGCGAGCUACCUGAAUCCACUCAUGAGGUGAAACACCUGAGCUCAUCAUGUGAGUUCAACCGCUGGGCUGUUUGGUGGAGCUCAGAGGAAGCUGCCCUGUGCUGCUUCGCCAGACAGAGGCUCACUAACAGGAUAAAACCCUGCUGCUUUUUAUUUCAUGGUGCAUGGAAGCAUCCUGUUGCUGACUGAGGAUUUACGGUGUGCUCGGAUUAUUGAGAUCGCUGCUCUGGCUGCAAUGCAUAAAUGAUUUGAUCAGAUAUCUGUGCGUUUGGGAUCUGAAAAACACCCUCUGAAUAUGUGGCAUGUUUAUCGAUGUCCAAAAGAGGGGAAUAUAUUUUAGUGAGGUGUUAAGUCAACUAUGUAAGUACUGUUCAAACAGACGGUUACAUUUGCAGUAAGUGGGGAGAAACGACACGAGGGGAACAUUGAUUUGCCUUGUGUGUGAUUUAAAACACAACAGAUUAGAGACAUUUAAACAUUUUGAAGUUUAAACACGUCUGGUUGAGAAAUGACAUCCCAAAUAAUGAAUAUUUUAAAGCGGAUGCGUUGAGGAAAUGUUGUGCGUCUGUCUCGUCCAUGUGUGCACGUCGGCCGGAGGUUGAAAAGCAAAGUGAGGCUCGCCUGAGGCCAGUGAACUGAUUUGAUUGACAGUGCCGUACCGUUCACGCUAUUUUUGUCAUUUCCGUUUCAUGUUGCAGCAGGUGUAGAAGAGGAUAAUGACAAGAGCAACAGAAGGGAACGGGGAGAGUCAGACAAUGUGUAACAUCUCAUUCAGGCUGUCUGCACACGAGAGAGUGCCGAUGUGCCCGGAAGCCCGGGCCUGACGCAAGAUUGUCAACGCAGCUGGAUUUCAAAGGGGCUCCUUCAGAGCUGGAUUGCUGUCGAGACUCUUUUUCCAUCGACUGAGACGCGCGGGAAAGUAACUAAAACAGCGACAAAGCCGAUCCAACCACUCGCGCACAGCGAGCUUCAUAGGCCCUUCUCUUCAUAUUACGCAAUCACCCUCCACCCUCCCACGUUGCCCCACGCUGGCUCAUAUGCAUCGCUAAGGGCGGAGCUUCUCGUGCUCGUUGAUACAGGGCGAUGAAGUUCGAACGCCGAAAAGGUGCUUCGAAAUCAAACUGACGUCGUUGUCGUCACCCGAUUGAAUUCAGCUCUUGGAAACUGAACCCAGUGUGUAUUUAUAUUCACUGCAAUCGGGAAGGUAAACUAUAUAAUUAAGACUCUCGUCUUUCUGGCGACAUAUGCGGCGGUAAUUUGUAAGAGCUGAGCUGUGAUGAGCCUUUAAAGAGGUGUUUGUGCACAUUGCAUCCAGGAGAUCAGCUGUCAAUCAGUCAUUGCAAGGAGACACCGCUCGAGUUAAAAAUGUUGCUGUUUUUCUCUAUUGGGGUCAACGUCAAUAGAAAUGCUGCACAUCAUACAUUUGGAAAACACACACACAGGAUUCCCUGUGUUAUUUUAGCCAGAGUACUUUAUAAUGAGGCCUGGAUGUAAUUACACGUCCUGUUCACAUAUUCAUAGCUUAAGCACUCUUUGCUGGCUUGUUAGUGCUUUGCAGACUGAUGUGCAUUCACAGCCUCUGCUUAUGAUGACCAUGCAUUGAAAUUAAUUCAUGAACGGUUCCCAUAGACCAAUAAAAGAAGAGUGCGCCCUUGUGAGCCCACCUACUGGUUUGUUAAGAGCUGUGGUGAAGCUCAAAGCUCUAUCCCUUAUUAGAAGGGUCAUAAUGCAGUUUAAACAGGAUGUUUGAAACAACGACAUCCACUUUAUAUUCACUGACAGCUGUUUUGACAAAACAUUUUUUUUUUCCUUCGUACCGGGCUGGAAACAUGUUUGUUUCUACUGUAAAAUUGGGCACUUUAACAUGGACGCCGGGGGAAAUGAGUCACUUUUGAAGCCAGCCAGAAGUGCUGAUUUAAAGAACUGCAAUUGUCACUUCUUCGUUUGAUAAAAAUCACACGGCGGAAGCCUGUGGAUAAACAGCUGUUUGUGCCCUUUAGCCUCUUUAUAUCAGACUCCAAAGAGCAUUAUUUGCAAAUAAAUGCAUGAAAAUAGGUUUUUUGUUUACAUGUCAUCAUUUGCUGCUUUCUCAGUAGUGGAAGAGGUGUGACCACGUGAUCCUGCCGCGGUGAUAUCUUUAUGUUCGAAUGUGAUGAUGUCAUUGGUUUGGUAUUAAUUUGUCCCUUAAUCGGCUUGUUUGAGUUCAUGUGGUGUCCAUGUCACCAUGAUCUUCAGUUACUGAUGGCACCUGUGUUUGCAUAGAUCACAGAUGCAUGUGAUGUGCAUAAGCUUAAAUUCAUCAUGUGUGCAUAUAUAUAAAAUAUACAUGCUUACUAGAUAAGUAUGAGUAGAGGCAUCAUAUCUGCAUGAGUCAUACUUUUUUUUUUUUUUUGGAAGGAAAAUGUUCAAUAUUUGUACCACAAAACUGAUUCUGCUUUGCUUAAUCAGACAUUGAUAAAUGAUUAAACUUUAACCUCACACGUACGUUGUAUCCAGGCCACAAAAGGUUCAGGAAAUUUCAUUAUGAGAAUGAAAUGAUGAAACACAGAGGCUGAGGCGUCAUUCACUAAUAUUAAAGAUAAUGCCGCUCCUGUUUGAAUGGGCCUAUUAGCAUUUGGGUUUCAGAGCUAACAGGAUUGUUGCGCCUUCCAUCGAGCCGUUGAUUAAAAAUGCCUCCAGCAGAUGUGCCUGAUUAACCAGCUGCUACCUGAUAGCAGAACACAAUAAGAACAACGGCGGCAAAGCUGUGUGGUCAAAUUCAAAAAGCCGUCUGAAUGCCUUCAGACGGAACAGCAACGAGCUGCUUUUUCGCUCUCUCACAGACGUACUUCUGGAAUAACAAGUCGGACCGUCAAUAAAAACAUUCUCCGAACGCCUCUUUACUUCAUGUUGAGUCACCUGAAUAUGUGACCAACGGUUAGCGACCGUUGACCCCUCAUGACGGAGCGACGCAGAACACUCUCUUCAUCGAAUGGUCCAACCCAAUAAAGAUUGGAUUUCAAGUACUGAAUGCAAAUGAGCUCCUACAUCUUUCGAAGGAACACAUUAGGCUUCUUGAAAGUGAUGGAAAUAAGUUAUAAACAGCUCUGCAUCGCAUGGCGUCUUCAAUGCUUCGCUCGCUGUGCAGAGUGUGUCUGGGGGAGUGCCCUUUAAAAGAAUCCUUUGAUGGCAUUUCUCAAUCAUUAGUCGGCUGGAAGAAAAAAGGGAGAAGAGAUGCGUGAGAGGCGGUUCCAGGCGAAGCCGGAGACGCUGUCUUCAUUGUGAACAUCUUAAGAGCUUCAGUUAUUCACGUGUCAGUUUCCUCCUUUUAGGCUGGUAAUCAUCUCUAAGGAAUAAACACUGGCUUAUUUCACGCCGUUUUGUGAACCAAACUUGGAACAUUUAGAACGUCUAACUGUGACUUAUGACCAAUUCUUCGUUGUACUUUUCUGAUGAAUCACCCUUUAUUAUUCUGCGAUUACAUCCGCGGUGCAGCCAACAGACCUUUUGAUAUUUCCAGCCCGUAGCCUGUUUGGUGUCAUCUCAUUGAUCGUCAUUGAUUCAUUCCAAGCAGGGUGUUUACUUUGAUCAAUGGGUCUAAUGGGUAAAUACACAUUUCUCCCACUUGAGCCAGUCCACAGUAAUCUCCCCACGUGGCUGCGAGCUGAUAUGAUAUUGCUAAAAUACUAAUCUCUCAGGUCAAGAGGGUCGGUCUAUUUUCUUUCUUUCCUGUUCUUUGAUUUCCUUUCAAGCCAUUUCAUUUUUUUCUAUCUCAGUCCGGCCCUUUUUUUUUCUAAUGUGUCUGCGUGAAGAAGAUGAUUCUCCUGCACAUUUCACAGAGAGGUUGGUUAAAUUUUUGAGGUUUACUUGCUGUACAACUGCCCUGUGGUGGCACUUUGUUUCCAUUAGUGAUCUUCCAAGGGAUUCUUAAUAACAAACAGUAAUAUGCAUAAUACACAAAGAAGGGGGAUAGAGGCAUAUUUUGUUGUCUCAAGUAUGUCAACAAAGCAGCACGCAAAUAUUUUGAUCCAGUUUAUUUCAUUAACAUUUCGCCAACAGAAAAACACUGCAUUGACAGAUUGGGCUCAUCUGUAAACACACUCACCACAAAGUUGUGCCGUUUAUCUCCAGAACAAAAGCCCUCUGAGGGGCCUCCACUCAAACUGAAGUUUAACGUGUGUCAUCUGAUAAGUUAAAACAGUCCAGUUCACCAGGGAUUUUAUUAAAGCGUAAAACGUUUGGGAGGUUUCUGAUGGUUUUCCCUUCCCAAAGUACAUUUCCCUUUUUAACAUCAUUCCACCAAUUUAUUCACAGCCGCCGAUGGUGGCGGACGCAACGAGAAUAAGUAAAUAAAUGUCUAAUGCAGUUAACUCCUUUUCACCCCCUGUCACUAAUAAGGGACUCCAAAAAGAGUUGAACCAGUUCAUUGUUAUAAAAUAAAUUUAUUUUCUCAUUUAUUCUAGAUUCCGUGAUGUAAUGUUCCGUGUGCAUACAUCAUUUUUGUUGCGGCACCACAUGCAGAUUUUGGAUUCCCAAGUGGGCCGACAAAAGGAAUGUAUGCACACAUCGCCACGAAGAAAGCUCACGAGGUAGCGGAUGCAUACAUGCAAUCUAUUUUUACACGGCAGACAGGAAGCGGGGGAGCCUGUGCUACUUCACCCGGGCUCAAAGACACGCAUGCCGCCUCGACGGCGUAAGGUGAUUUUACGUACAACGCUGACACCUCAAAUGCUGCGGCGGUGAGAUAAAGUCUCCGUUUAAAUUGCCUCCAAUUUGAAAUUAGCUGUGGUUCUAAUAACAUCUUCCAUGAUUCCUUUUCCCCACAUGAGAAAAGCCAUUAUCCAGCAUCAGCACAGUACGUCGGCAUAUACUGCAGCAUAUACUGUGGCAUUUUGCUAUCAGUUCGGAGACUUUUGACAGCAUCCGGACUCCCCUUUUUUUUUUUUUUUAAAGAUUAAAAAGAACUCGUUCUGCCCCCCAAAAUGCGUCAGAGUGCAGCGAACAACAAACAGCAGCCGUUACAGUGUGUGUGACCCAAUUUUAUCAUAAUCUGCCCCGCACUGAGCCGUUCCACCAAAAGCGCCGCGGAAUAACUGCAUUUGUGAACACAGAAAUUGAAAGGCUGCCACUCUGGAAGUGCAGUGCAGAAAGUACUCGUCUUACAAAUUAUUUUCUCCGUUGUGUUGAAACAGCUGUCUUUGAAACGCGAGUGGCGAAUGUCACUGGCUUCUCAGGAAAGUGUGUUUGUGUAACGAGUUGUCGUGGGUCGAGUGUUGCCUUGACACUGUUGGAGUUGCCUUCUUUCUUUCAAGAUUUUGACAUUAACAUGAAUCUGGCUUUGUCAUUUUCUAAUAAUACACAUUUGUUUUUCCUAGAUCUCUUCGCGUUGUACGAGAUUAUGAUAAAUUAAGCUACUGAGGAGCUCUGAUUUGACAGAACACCCAUUUUAUGAGGUAGUUCCUCCCCUCCCAGUUAACAUCCUGAGAGUAUCUAAAAUCGGGGGCAUUCAAAUCGAGCUGCUAUUGACUCCAUUAGAACGAUGUCGGGGAUUACUUCAUCAUUAUUACAUUCUUUUUUUUGACAACCUCAACUCAGGUAAUUUCACAGGGCCGCUACUGCAAAUCAGCAAAAAUGGCCUGGAGUAGGUGGAGGGGGAUACAUAUUCACCGCCAGUGGCGCAGUCUUUAGCCAUGACCUAUUCUUACUGGCCAAUGGGAAAGAGAAGUGUGCCAGCAUGAUUAAUGGUCAUGAUUACCUACUCAGAAAAUGUGUUUUUCCGGCCCAGCAGCUCCACUUUUAUGACUUAAACCUGAGGGCAAGAUGGUUCAUCAUGCAGGCAAAGCUGCACACAGAGAGCGGCUGGUGAAGACCAAACAAAGGCUUCACCAUCGUCUGUCUCACACAGAGAGAGAGGAAAGCCUCGUGGAUUGUUGUUUAGACAUCUCUGUUGAAGACGUCCAUGUCCAUGAGCAUCAGCAUUUGUCUCAGGGGGUCUGCAGCUCGGCCCCCACCGAUCCCGAACUUCAGCUCACCUGUUUUCUCUGUAGAACAAAAACGGCGGCCGCGCUGCAUCCACCGAGGGCCACUUUCCAUCUGCAUGUUUUCAUGUUUGCACGCAGGUAAUACAGCCGGUGCCACUGUGGGAGCUGCUGUGUUUGUUCCAUCAUUAACCUCGAGUUAGUAUCUGUCACAAACACCGUCGCAGCCCUCAUUAUGACUCCGCAUCACUCCCCCUCCACCAAACGGCUGUGUAUCUCGCCAACGAGCCACAAAGGUUAUCCGCAAUAAAAGGUUACAGUUCCCUGUGACAUUUCCCUUGAUGACUUAUCUGAACCUCUGUCUUUGAUGAAUAUCAACCAGCUUGUUGCCACUCGGAGUUAUUCACUCGUUAAACCACAACUGUGAUCGAAUAUUUGAUCAAUGAUCAAAACCAGCAGCAGCAGCUGAUGCUUUCAACUUUAUAGCUGAGAUUUUAUGUUUAUUGUGACCUGCACCUGACGGUCAUAUUACAGUCACAUUAAUAAGAGCAAAUAACAUAUAAUACAUCAAUGCUUGGCAGUCCAGUAAUCUUCCACGUGAUUUUUUUGGCUAGGGAACAACAUUUCUUGUAGCAAACUCACCAUCAUCCAUCACUGAGCAGCUGAAAAUAUGAGAGCAGCCCAGGUUGUGCAUGCAGGGAGUUUUAAACGUGAAAAAUCUCAGUUCCUGGCUCGGUAGCCGCUGACUCACUGGUAAUCAACAACUUUACCAACCCCUGGAGAUAUAUUGUAGCCCUGAUUCUGCUACAGGAUCCUAAAGUCUUCCUCAUUGCACCUUUAACACAGUAUAAAUAUAUCAGUUAAUGUAUCUAGACAAAAUUGUGACUGGACUUUUGUAAGGCUUAAUUUAGCAAAAGGUUUUAGGCUGCAGUGACAACUUUAAUUUAGGACCCAGAAACCAGCCCGCUGUGAGAGAGUUACUGACGAUACAUUUGUCUGUGAAUAAAAGGCCACACACACCCACAGUUAUUGGGCUGUAAAGUACAGUCGACGGGAACCUCGAAUUGCCAAACCCCAAUUGAUGGAAUAGAACAUUUCAUGAAGUUCAGGUUCUUUUACUUAGAUUCAAGAAAAAUCCAUCUCGUCGGGCAUGAAGUAACGUGUUUGUUUCUGGACAACACGCGUCCAGACCCAUCAGCGUCCAGUGAGGAGCUCCCGGCAGCUACACGCAUUGUUUAGGUGUGUGUGUGUGCGUGUGUUGUUUUUGACGCAGCACAGAGAGGAAACUUCUACUACUUCACAACAAUGGCUGCUUGAGGAAAGCAUGGAUGAUACAAUCGCCCCUAUUAGACGGGAUUGACCUGGGAAAACAUUGAGAAAACAUCAGUCACAACCAACACUUCCCCAGCAGUCUCAUGGAAAUCAAUCAAAAGCACAUUUCAGAGGACCUUUGGUGACAGUGGCAGGCCAACCAUCAUCGAGGGGCAUCGGCCCGUCUGCUUUUGAAAUGAAAGCACCAGUUAUUUCCACGCACGCGCAGCCGUCCCUCCCCCUGCCGGCUGUUGCUGUGUUGCUGCGAGGAGGCCGACUGCAGCAGGUGAGCCACAGGGCCAAUUCAGUUUGGUGCCGCCAUGCAUGUGGUGCAUAGCUGCAAAAGCAAUUUGUGGUCCCACCCCAUCUCAUGCCCGAGAUUUAUUAUGGCCUGCUGUUUUUUUUUUUUUUUUUUUUUUAUAUAUCUAACUCCUUUUGAGAAAAGCAAAAGCAUUCCAGCAGUGACACUCAGCAGAAAAGCUCAGAUACCGGGGCGCUUAGACUAAAGAUUAGAGACAAGAGGUGCCCGGCUUAAAUCCUUGAACUGAAGGAAGUGAAUUGUAUGCUUUUGUGUAGGGAAUGUGUCCCCGGAAGUGCUGCUGCUCAGAGGCUUUGGGCUCUGCAGACUGUAGCAUGAAGCUGUGUAGCACAGUGGUUUUAGUGAAGAGCUUAGAAGUAUGUGUAUGUGCAGCAGCAGGUGUCUGAGUAGCUAUGCCAUCAAGCCCUCAUUACCUAGACUGUGAAAAUUGAAAAAUGUAAAUUGGAAAUAUAUUACAUGGUACUGUGAAUAAAUGUAUUUCUAAACAUGUUCUGAGUAAUAGAAAGAUAAGUUAACGGUGUGUUUUCAACCAAAAUGUUCUACGCAUUCAAAAGCAAAGGGAGUCUUGUAAAGUAGCCGUGAUGGAUUAUUCCUGAUAUGAUGCCACAAUCAUGAUCUUAUUCGCGAGUCAUACGCAGAGCCCGCCCACACAUCAUUGACUUCUAAGUACAUUCCAACAGUCCGUGUGCUUGUGAGCAUGUGUGAUAGUGAGCACGCUAAUGUGGAAAAAGGUUUACAUGUUUCUGUAAUGUAAAGGAACCACUGAAGCAUCUGUCUGUGUCUCUGUUUUAAUCAUAUCUCGUGGACCAUGAAGUUAGAGUCUGCUGUUAUGGCUCCACUGUUAUGCCUCCCAUCCCGUCACCUCCCAUCCCCAUAAAUGUGUGAAAAGUUGUAGAAAGAAAUAUACAAACAUAUGGUCCUACCCCUUUCUUCAUGAUUAACUAUAUGUGUAUUAUUGAAACUUGUUUGACAGGACCAUUAAUCCUUUUUAAUUUCAAUCCCAACCUUGGUAAUGAGGUAAUAUUUUUUGCCGUAUUGUCAAAGUUUAACAAAAGAUUAUCCGUUAUACAUCCCACGGCGGGAACAUUAGUAGCGUUACAGCUGCAAGGGGGAUAAUAUAAUAACAAGAAUAUCGGUUUAAAAAAAAAGCUAGAUAGGUCUAUAAUGAAUAAUUAAAAUUUGAAUUAUAAAACUGAAUUAAAAUGAUUACACAAAGGAAACGUUGGUAUUGGACAGUAAAACUGAUAUUGCGUACGAAUUGUCAGUUUUUGUGCGAGCGGUGCAGAGGGUGAAGCCCGACAGUAGUGACAGUAGAGAGAGUGCCGUCUCCUUCACGCUGUGGCCGAGGCCGUCUGUCACCCAACGAGCUGUUUCUAAUGACCCUGCAUGAGACGCCGCGGUGAGAACACGCGGGCGUGAGCGUACGGUGCGCUAAUUAUCGUCUAUUUCUGUGCCGUCACCAUGGCAAACGCACGUCUUUAACGUCAGCAAACAUCAUUUCGUAGCCGAGUGGUAUUAGAAUUCUCCUUCCCAUCUUACCUUGACCUCGGCGUAAAAAGUUGAAGGAUACGUGGUUUAACAGUAGUUAAGAGGUAUAAGGAAGUCAUGUUUUGAGUGUGUUGGUGUCUCUAUCCAUGGUGCUGAAACAUGCAGAUCCAGUUUCUCAGUGAGUUUCUAUCCAUGCUGCUGAAACAUGCAGGUCCGGUUUCUCAGUGAGUUUCUAUCCAUGGUGCUGAAACUUGCAGGUCAAGUUCCACAAUGUGUUUCUAUCCAUGGUGCUGAAACAUGCAGGUCAAGUUCCUCAAUGUGUUUCUAUCCAUGGUGCUGAAACACGCAGGUCCGGUUUCUCUGUGUUUCUAUCCAUGGUGCUGAAACGUGUAGGUCCAGUUUCUCCCUGUGUUUCUAUCCAUGGUGCUGAAACACGCGGGUCCGGUUUCUCAGUGAGUUUCUAUCCAUGGUACUGAAACGUGUAGGUCCAGUUUCUCCCUGUGUUUCUGUCCAUGGUGCUGAAACGUGUAGGUCCAGUUUCUCCCUGUGUCUCCGUCCCUGUGUUGAAUUAGGCUUGAGAGUCACUAAAACAACUCUUAUGUCAGAGCAAAGCAUGUUGUCAAGGCUUGUUGGAAAACUGUGUUUGUCAUGAUGGAUUUCAAAAGUCUCUUUUUCAUCAUGUGUAAAAGAUUUAAAAGAUGUUAUUGUUCUAUUAUUUGGAAAACAAUUAAGUAUGUGCAAAAAAUGUACAAAAUGUGCCUUUAUUAUGAAUAAAUAUUAACAAUACAAUGAAGGGCGCUUUCUAUCAUAUUUCCUACCAGAGGCACACUGCGACGUGAGUUAAGGGACUCAGGAUGUACCUGAGGAUGUACGCAGUGUCUCUAAGACAGAGGGUCUUUGUCAAUUUGAAUCAUUUCCAAGUUCGAUGACUGCCCCCUCAAGUCUUCCAGCCGCCUAAAUAUUUCCAAAUGUAUUACUCACAAGGCACUGCCGAUUGCAUUAGUCAUAUCUGGGCAGAUUGGAUUACGGCAAAGCCCUUUGACUUUAUCACUGUUGAUUUCCCUCAAGGCCACAGAAUGAACUUUAAUGAAUCUCCAUCUUUGACAAAACCCCUGCUGCGUGGUGCCUUAAUUUGACAUGCCACGGGCAAUGAAUGAGUCAAAAGCACAGACAUCUCAAAUGACUGAAGGUGGCAGGUUUUGACCCGAGUCGAUAAUUUCUGAUUAACUUUUGUCAAGACAAAGUCCUUCAUCAAAUAAAUUGCCAAAAGAGGUUUAGAUAUUUCAAGAAGUGACUCAGCUGAAGUGAGCUUUUUGCGGACACGUUUAACAAAGCCGGGUAUUUAGAAUAAAAGCUUCAUUCAGGACAAACCCUCUCACAAUAACUACAGUGUUAUAGUAGGAUAUAGUAGUUAGGACCCCUCUCAUCUUUUGCUGGUUGCUCGUUGCUAAUUACAUAAUUCUACUUUAUUACACUCAGUUGGCUAAGAGCAUUGCAUUGAUUCUCUGAAUGUUUGAUUAGAUCUCAGCUCUGCCCCACCUACAUAUACAUUUUCCAGGCGGCGUUGACCUAUUCUUCAACAUGAUGCAACUUCGUUGCAAUGUGAGUUAGAAUUCUUCUCGGCUGUUGCAGGGAUUAAAUCGGGGCUGCGUGAAGCAUCAAUAGCCGCCUCUUCGCUGACCUCCACACCGCACUCUGAGGUUACGUCCUAAUGGGACAAGCUUCAGUAAAUGUGUUUUAUGCUCAAAUUGCAGAUCCAAAUUUCCCAAUGAUGUAUGAUGGGAAACCGGGUAUCCUCCAUAUUUAACAUUUGUAGGUAGGUAGAACAUCAUUCUUUAGGCAUAUGAACUUGCCUUACGUUUCAAAAUAAAAUCCUAUUGGUGAAUUCCAUGCUUCCUAAAAUAGUAAAGUGUCUGAAGGCUGAUGUCACAUACAGCCAUGCUUUUCUCUUGAUAUUACAUUUGUCGACCAAUAAGCUUUUAUUCAUCAACAGUAUCAAAGCCAAAGAAGCGUGCUAACGGUUAUGUAUGUGCAUGUAUCCAAUGCGGUGUUCACGCGUCAAAAUAAAUUAUGUUUGAAGCAUGUUUGUUUUCACAGCAAAGGGAAAAUAUGAAGAGCCGUGUUGGAUUCCUAUUCAAGAAUGACUGUAUCUAUAUUUAAAUCCUAAUUCAGAGUUGAUUUGGAGUCUCUGGAGUCUCAGCUUCAUCAUCUCCAUCUUGAAACAGCUUGAGGCCAGAGACAUUAGAGACAGAUAUCUUGGAUUAGCAGCAGGCGAAGUAAAGAUGCAUUUUAAUGACUUCACGGCCGGCGUUGGCUGUGAUAAGCACUGCCCUAAGUGACUUCAGAUGUACUUACUGUAUGUUUUAACUCAGGAUGACCUACUGUCUCUCUCAUGCUCUAGUCUUGCCAAUGUAAAACUCUCCUAGUUUUUUCCCCCAUGCAGCUACUUUCCAAUCUGAUAACUUCAUGGAAAAUAAUCAUUUCACCAACUCUUGAGCCCGAGAAUGCAGAAUUGAUUAUUCUUUUUUUAGGCGCCACAUUUGUUUAUCUCAAUGGAGUGGGGACCGGUGAUGGUGACAGCAUGUCAAUUUCAAGAUCAAUUGUUGCCUCUGGCCUUUGCAUUGCAUUACCAUAGUAAUGACUUUUUGACCCUCCUUUCUAAUGUUUGAAGAUCUACAUCCGUAGUUGUGGAGACAAAAGGCGUACCUGAGCGGGAAGCGAAUUCUUCUGCACAGCACCUUUCACACAUCAACAGCAGAACGGACCGAUCCAAUGAAUGCUUAUGAACUACCGAGGCACAGAUCUGGAAAUGUCCUCCACUCACUACUGUCGAUAUUUGCAAAUGAUGUGGAGAAACUAAAUGGCCAUUCUAACUAUGGGGGCCUAAACGUUUCUACUUCAGAGAUUCCCCCCCCACCAGACUGCUGUGCUGUACUGAGCCACUGGUCCCCGAAGGACCAGUGGCUUAGUAUCUGCUGCAAAUUCUAAAAAUACUUAUAAAUUAUAUUCUUUAUUAUUACAAAACACAGAUGCAAAGAGUUACACAAUUUAAGAAAAUUACAUUUAAAUUGAAACAAUGAUUAUGAAAAGAAAAAUCUGUAAAAUGUUGUAAAACAUAAAUAUAAUCACACCCUGAUAACUUUAGGGGAAGGAUGUCGUCAGGGCCGAAUAACUGACUUAGAAUGUUUGAGAGAUUCUUCUUUGAUUCACAAAUUUGAUGAUAGAAAUUAGGUUUCCUUUGAGUGAUAAAGAAAUUAAACCAAAACUAAAAGUGCAUUUAAAGUACCUGCUUAUAUUUAUGCAACACAACUAACUGAAUGCGAGACGAGUAAAGGAACACGGCUGCUCAGCAAACCAAAGCUGGAAUCCGAUUUAAGGAGAGAUAAAUAUGGAAUGUUGAAUACGAGGGGUCUGAGGAUCGUAUGUAUCUCAUUGAUUCUGCAGCACACCCGUUUCUUUUAGAAGUAUCUUUUUAGUAUUUAGUAGUACCAGUGACGCCUCGACCAUGGUCUCGUAUUCACACCCUACAACAUUUCAUACAGUGCAUUCACGUGCUGUGGGCAUGGGAGCUUCGCUGGAAGGCAAGAGAAGUUUGUGUAGUUAAUAGGGUUAAGAAGGUGCUCUCUGAGAAUAUGGAAAGGGGCCCAAGUUAAAGAAAAUGAAAUAAAUAAAUAAGCGCCUAUUGAAAGAUGGCGGUGAGCCUGCCAUGCGAGAUGUCCCUCAGGAUGGAAACUCGCCUUCCCUGCCAGGCAGAUAUUUGGCAAUUAGAAAACUGUCAGCGAGCUUCAUUUGCUCCGAGACCAUCCCGCCCUCAAAUAACUGCACAUUCCUGGCCGGGUUGAAGUCGAAAGCUGCGUCGGCCGGCCGGGGAAGGAAUUACAUGCAGCGGACCAAGAGACGUCAACGGAAUAACGACACGUGGAAACUCGUACACAGCAGCUGGACGCAAUGGAUGCCCGCUGUCACAAUGUGGAAGACGAACAUAUCGAAAGUGUACACACAAUAUGCCAUUAGGGCUGUUUUCAAGCAUGUUGCUGGAGGUCGCGUGCGACGCGUCUGUAAUAUUUCACCCAGCGUAAAAUGGCAUCUGGUGGUUGUUAUGGCGAUGGUGGCAUCUCGAGAUCUUUCCCUUCGCUCCCAUUUGGCAGAUCAGUAACAAUCGC
Molecule: long non-coding RNA, 15083 nt
Organism: Gasterosteus aculeatus aculeatus (three-spined stickleback)
Lineage: Eukaryota; Metazoa; Chordata; Actinopteri; Perciformes; Gasterosteidae
Source: Ensembl